GUCUACAGCCAUACCACCCUGAACGCACCUGAUCUUGUCUGAGCUCAGAAGCUAAGCAGGGUCAGGCCUGCUUAGUACUUGGACGGGAGAGCACACCUACCUGCUGAAGCAC
This 112-nucleotide ribosomal RNA is filed under the name Propithecus coquereli (Coquerel's sifaka). Lineage: Eukaryota; Metazoa; Chordata; Mammalia; Primates; Indriidae. The record is from RNAcentral.